RNAcentral lists this ribosomal RNA (467 nucleotides) under uncultured bacterium. Its description in RNAcentral is "partial 16S ribosomal RNA". It matches the Rfam family "Bacterial small subunit ribosomal RNA", at positions 28 to 506 of the family's 1533-position model. The record is from RNAcentral.
GACGAACGCUGGCGGCGUGCUUAACACAUGCAAGUCGAACGGAAAGGCCCUGCUUUUGUGGGGUGCUCGAGUGGCGAACGGGUGAGUAACACGUGAGUAACCUGCCCUUGACUUUGGGAUAACUUCAGGAAACUGGGGCUAAUACCGGAUAGGAGCUCCUGCUGCAUGGGGGGGGUUGGAAAGUUUCGGCGGUUGGGGAUGUACUCGCGGCUUAUCAGCUUGUUGGUGGGGUAGUGGCUUACCAAGGCUUUGACGGGUAGCCGGCCUGAGAGGGUGACCGGCCACAUUGGGACUGAGAUGCGGCCCAGACUCCUACGGGAGGCAGCAGUGGGGAAUAUUGCACAAUGGGCGGAAGCCUGAUGCAGCAACGCCGCGUGCGGGAUGACGGCCUUCGGGUUGUAAACCGCUUUCGCCUGUGACGAAGCGUGAGUGACGGUAAUGGGUAAAGAAGCACCGGCUAACUACGU